UUAGAGAUACUUUAGUGGCGGACGGGUGAGUAACGCGUGAGGAGCUGUCCAAUGCAGGGGGACAACAGUUGGAAACGACUGCUAAUACCCCAUAAGCCGAGAGGUAAAAGGAUUUAUCCGGCAUGGGAGGUACUCGCGUCCUAUCAGCUAGUAGGUGAGGUAACGGCUCACCUAGGCGAAGACGGGUAGCCGGCCUGAGAGGGCGAACGGCCACACUGGAACUGAGAUACGGUCCAGACUCCUACGGGAGGCAGCAGUGGGGAAUAUUGGGCAAUGGGGGGAACCCUGACCCAGCGACGCCGCGUGGGUGAAGAAAUCCUUCGGGAUGUAAAGCCCUGUUGUAUGGGAAGAGCGGAAGACGGUACCAUACGAGGAAGCCCCGGCAAACUACGUGCCAGCAGCCGCGGUAAUACGUAGGGGGCAAGCGUUGUCCGGAAUUACUGGGCGUAAAGCGCACGCAGGCUGAAUUAUAAGUCGGUAGUAAAAGGCGGGGGCUCAACUUCCGUAUAUCUAUCGAUACUGUAAAUCUAGAGUAUGUGAGAGGGAAGCGGAAUUCCCGGUGUAGCGGUGAAAUGCGUAGAUAUCGG
This 587-nucleotide ribosomal RNA is filed under the name uncultured Deferribacterales bacterium. Its description in RNAcentral is "bacterial SSU rRNA". It matches the Rfam family "Bacterial small subunit ribosomal RNA", at positions 80 to 700 of the family's 1533-position model. Lineage: Bacteria; Pseudomonadati; Deferribacterota; Deferribacteres; Deferribacterales. The record is from RNAcentral.